RNAcentral lists this ribosomal RNA (253 nucleotides) under uncultured bacterium. Its description in RNAcentral is "partial 16S ribosomal RNA". It matches the Rfam family "Bacterial small subunit ribosomal RNA", at positions 524 to 776 of the family's 1533-position model. The record is from RNAcentral.
UACAGAGGGUGCGAGCGUUGUCCGGAAUCACUGGGCGUAAAGGGCGCGUAGGCGGCUUGAUAAGGUUGCGGUGAAAGCCCGGGGCUCAACCCCGGGUCGGCCGUGGCAACUGUCGAGCUGGAGCACUGUAGAGGCAGGUGGAAUUCCGGGUGUAGCGGUGGAAUGCGUAGAGAUCCGGAAGAACACCAGUGGCGAAGGCGACUUCCUGGCCUGUUCUUGACGCUGAGGCGCGAAAGCUAGGGGAGCAAACGGG